RNAcentral lists this Y RNA (112 nucleotides) under Microtus ochrogaster (prairie vole). Its description in RNAcentral is "Y RNA (ENSMOCG00000010444.1)". It matches the Rfam family "Y RNA". Rfam says of the family: Y RNAs are components of the Ro ribonucleoprotein particle (Ro RNP), in association with Ro60 and La proteins. The Y RNAs and Ro60 and La proteins are well conserved, but the function of the Ro RNP is not known. Lineage: Eukaryota; Metazoa; Chordata; Mammalia; Rodentia; Cricetidae. The record is from Rfam by way of RNAcentral.
GGCUGGUCCGAAGGUAGUGAGUUAUCUCAAUUGAUUGUUCACAGUCAGUUACAGAUUGAACUCCUAUUCUACACUUUCCCCCCUUCUCACUACUGCACUUGACUAGUCUUUA